GCCUGUUCCACGGGUUCUGUGUCGUAGCUAACGCAUUAAGUUCCCCGCCUGGGGAGUACGGCCGCAAGGCUAAAACUCAAAGGAAUUGACGGGGGCCCGCACAAGCGGCGGAGCAUGCGGAUUAAUUCGAUGCAACGCGAAGAACCUUACCAAGGCUUGACAUAUGGAAGAACGGGUCAGAAAUGAUUCACUCUUUGGACACUUCUAUACAGGUGGUGCAUGGUUGUCGUCAGCUCGUGUCGUGAGAUGUUCGGUUAAGUCCGGCAACGAGCGCAACCCUCGUCCUAUGUUGCCAGCACGUAAUGGUGGGAACUCAUGGGAUACUGCCGUGGUCAACACGGAGGAAGGUGGGGAUGACGUCAAAUCAUCAUGCCCCUUAUGUCUUGGGCUUCACGCAUGCUACAAUGGCCGGUACAAUGGGCUGCGAUACCGCGAGGUGGAGCGAAUCCCAAAAAGCCGGUCUCAGUUCGGAUUGGGGUCUGCAACUCGACCCCAUGAAGUCGGAGUCGCUAGUAAUCGCAGAUCAGCAACGCUGCGGUGAAUACGUUCCCGGGCCUUGUACACACCGCCCGUCAAGUCAUGAAAGUCGGUAACACCCGAAGCCGGUGGCCUAACCCUUGUGGAGGGAGCCGUCGAAGGUGGGACUGGUGAUUAGGACUAAGUCGUAACAAGGUAGCCGUACCGGAAGGUGCGGCUG
RNAcentral lists this ribosomal RNA (697 nucleotides) under bacterium ARI-I. RNAcentral describes it as "bacterial SSU rRNA". It matches the Rfam family "Bacterial small subunit ribosomal RNA", at positions 827 to 1520 of the family's 1533-position model. The record is from RNAcentral.